GCAAAAAGUAACCAGAAUAUCCAGACGAUAGAGGACAUGGCUAAAUUUGUAGACAACUACCCAGAAUACCGAAAAAUGCAAGGGAAUGUUUCUAAGCACGUGACACUGGUUACGGAAAUGAGCAAAAUAGUUGAAGAGCGAAAACUGAUGUUGGUUUCACAGACGGAACAAGAGUUGGCUUGCAAUGGUGGACAAGGGGCAGCAUUCGAGGCUGUGACAAAUCUAUUGAAUAAUGAUAAUAUCUCUGAUGUUGACCGCCUGCGCCUUGUCAUGCUGUACGCCUUGCGCUAUGAGAAGGAGAGUCCUGUUCAACUAAUGCAGCUAUUCAACAAAUUAGCAUCUCGGUCGCCCAAGUAUAAGCCUGGGCUAGUGCAAUUCCUUCUAAAGCAAGCAGGAGUUGAUAAGAGAACUGGAGAUCUGUACGGGAACAGAGAU
Molecule: unclassified non-coding RNA, 435 nt
Filed under: Hevea brasiliensis (rubber tree)
Lineage: Eukaryota; Viridiplantae; Streptophyta; Magnoliopsida; Malpighiales; Euphorbiaceae
Source: RNAcentral